RNAcentral lists this ribosomal RNA (465 nucleotides) under uncultured Klebsiella sp. RNAcentral describes it as "bacterial SSU rRNA". It matches the Rfam family "Bacterial small subunit ribosomal RNA", at positions 338 to 795 of the family's 1533-position model. The record is from RNAcentral. Lineage: Bacteria; Pseudomonadati; Pseudomonadota; Gammaproteobacteria; Enterobacterales; Enterobacteriaceae.
CCUACGGGUGGCAGCAGUGGGGAAUAUUGCACAAUGGGCGCAAGCCUGAUGCAGCCAUGCCGCGUGUGUGAAGAAGGCCUUCGGGUUGUAAAGCACUUUCAGCGGGGAGGAAGGCGGUGAGGUUAAUAACCUCAUCGAUUGACGUUACCCGCAGAAGAAGCACCGGCUAACUCCGUGCCAGCAGCCGCGGUAAUACGGAGGGUGCAAGCGUUAAUCGGAAUUACUGGGCGUAAAGCGCACGCAGGCGGUCUGUCAAGUCGGAUGUGAAAUCCCCGGGCUCAACCUGGGAACUGCAUUCGAAACUGGCAGGCUAGAGUCUUGUAGAGGGGGGUAGAAUUCCAGGUGUAGCGGUGAAAUGCGUAGAGAUCUGGAGGAAUACCGGUGGCGAAGGCGGCCCCCUGGACAAAGACUGACGCUCAGGUGCGAAAGCGUGGGGAGCAAACAGAAUUAGAUACCCUAGUAGUC